CCUUUUAACCGGUAAUUUUUAACAUAAUUUGAUAGAAAUUUUCAAAGAUUGAGAUAAUAUUCACGAUCUUAUAAUGUUAUUCAUCAAACUUAUUGGUUUAAUUAUAAUCAUCAUACUUAUUAGUUGCAAUUUAGUAUUACUUGAUGGUUUUUCUUUGAUUCUUUGUUCGUGUUAUAAUGCUAAUCAUCAAUCGGAUUGGUAGAAUUUUACAUUAUUUUGUUGCAGGCUAAUCCGGAUCUUCACUUCACUGUGGCUCACUUCUACCUCCUUCUUCUAAUGAAAAAUCAAAAAAAAUAAGAGAUCAUCAUUCAACGCGUUCGAUUGGACCCGCUCGAUUGGACCCGGAAACGUCUCUCCUCUCAUCCAGACUUUAAUUGGUUGAGGUCUAAAUCGUGUCGACAAUUUGAGGUGCCCGAUCGUUUGUUCGUGUCUGGAUUCGAUAAUCAGGAUGGAGGAUAUUCGUUUUGG
Hydra vulgaris (swiftwater hydra) is the source of this 468-nucleotide non-coding RNA. The record is from RefSeq and is a predicted model, not a curated record. NCBI's taxonomy places the organism in Eukaryota, Metazoa, Cnidaria, Hydrozoa, Anthoathecata, Hydridae.